UACGGAGGGUGCAAGCGUUAUUCGGAAUUACUGGGCGUAAAGCGCGUGUAGGCGGGAAGGUAAGUCUGAUGUGAAAGCCCUGGGCUCAACCUGGGAAGUGCAUUGGAUACUGCUUUUCUUGAGUUCUGGAGAGGAUGGGGGAAUUCCCGGUGUAGAGGUGAAAUUCGUAGAGAUCGGGUGGAAUAUCAGUGGCGAAGGCGCCCAUCUGGACGGCAACUGACGAUGAGACGCGAAAGAGUGGGGAGCAAACAGG
RNAcentral lists this ribosomal RNA (253 nucleotides) under uncultured bacterium. RNAcentral's name for it is "partial 16S ribosomal RNA". It matches the Rfam family "Bacterial small subunit ribosomal RNA", at positions 524 to 776 of the family's 1533-position model. The record is from RNAcentral.